UCCUCCACAAAAAUGGCUACCUUCCUUUUUAUCGCAACGUUUAUGCUUAUUGUGUUUGCAUCAUUUGUACGAUGCCCACCUCCUUCCCUCCCUAAACCACCAUUCGCAGUGGUUGCUUUUGAGUGGCCUAUGGCCUUAUGCACAAUCAAACAUGGGUGCAAUAAGACCCCUCCAGCCAAUCUUCGACUGCACGGAGUAUGGCCAACACAUGGAAAUGGUUCAAGAAUGGAGUAUUGCACAAACCAUCCUUUCAGUGGUUCAGCUUUGAAUGAUAUAAGGAAAGACCUUCUGUAUUACUGGCCAAGUUAUUAUCAACCAGAAAACCAAUUCUGGAAAUAUGAAUGGGAAAAACACGGAACUUGCUCCGGCCAACCCGUCAAAGAGUAUUUUCAAAAUUCAAUGACACUCUUCACAAAGAUGUACCAGAGGAUUUUCACUACACUAGUACGAAACGGUAAGUGUUCCGAGUAUGGAACUGGGAGGACGUUCCGAAGUGCCUUGGCCCUGUCAAGCAGAGCAAACGUGAGCUAACCUCGGGGGUUUAACCGAGGAAACCCCCUCCGAUGCCUAAGUCAGCAAAUAGAUAAGAAGUCUUUAGAGAGCGAAUAUAGAGAGAAGGUGGAGCAAGUACCGUGUGUAAGAAUGUGUCCCAUCAUGAGUGAUGUGGGUGCUAUUUAUAGGCGUACUAUUCUGUACUUUGGCCUAUUUGGAUUCCGCCACGUGUAUGACGGCGAUGUACUUUAUUCUUUGUCGUUGUCGUUUAGCCUGCGGGUCCUUUCUUGGACUGAUGCAACUUUGUCUGGCUCUGCUCUAUGUCCUAUAUGUGAUAUGGGGAGGUUUGAUCUGCCUGGGUUGCGUAUGCUUGGCUUGGGGCUUAGAGUCUUUCUUUGACUUGGGUGUGUCCUGGGUGUCAGAGUUUGCUCUGUCAUUAAUGUUCUGUCCUCUCUGGAUAUGACCCCGUACAACUAGUCCCUCAAGAGUAGAGCUGACUUUUUAAGUCAGGUCUGCUCUUCUGUUCUUGAUCUGGCCUCUUUGGGGCUGUAAUGCUUGUUUUGUUGGCUUUUUGCUUUUGUCCUGGUUAUGUAUUCUCUUGCUACCAGUCCCUCAAGAGUAGAUCUAAUUUCUCGAAUUAGGUCUGCUCUUUUUUUUUUUUUUUUUUUGGGCGGGCUUUCUUUGGGGUGAAAUGGUAAGAAAUCUUUGGGGAUUUUAACCGGCUUUUCCUUGUGCCACGCGUUGCCCAUCUGAAGAGUCAAUUGGAAUCGUCGCUCAAUCUGGACCGUCCUUCGUCAUGCUUGAGUUCAGUUGAACUGAGGUCUACACGUGUCCUUCAUCCUGCUUGUGCAACUGUAUCGUUGCUCGCAUCCUAGCCGUUCUUCUUUGGCUUCUUAAAAAAAAAGUGUUUUCGCUGCUUGUGGUGGUCAUUUGCCCUUCGUGUUUUCAUUUGCCAUUUCGCGAAGGGAGGUUUCCGUCGCCGUGUUCCUUUUGAUUCUAACCCUAUCUUCCUUUUCCGACGCCGGGAAUCUAUUUUUCGUUCUAUGAUGGCCAACCAUGUCACUAUUUCUGUGGAUGAGCAAGCUGGUGGGGAAGAUAUUUUGGCCCAGGUAAACGAGAUGAGGCCUUUUCCAAACUACGUGGAAGAGAAUGUCGUUCCUGGGGAUUCGACGCCCUUCCUUUCUGAGGCCUCUGCUUUUGGUCCCUUACACGCGAAGCUGAAUGUUAAGUGGACUGAUGAUGCGCGAAAAGAGAAUCACGCUGUUGUUGGUAAAGAGUUUUAUGGUCUGCCUGAUGGUUAUCGACUUAUCGUGCCAGACGACGAUGCUCGGAUCACUCAUCCACCAGAGGGAUGCAUAGGCGUUUAUGCCUAUAGUCUGGACUUUGGUUUGCGAUUUCCUCUGCAUCCUACCUUGGUGAAGAUUCUUCGCGCGUUUAAUGUUUGCUUAGCUCAGCUCCACCCCUUCGCUGUACGUACUUUGAUCAGCUAUAUUUGGGUCUGUCGGUUUUUGGAGUUCCCUGAGACCCUUUCUCUCUGUAAGCGAGUCCAUCAUCUGCGCAACAGUGGUACUGGGAACAAGAUUGGUUGGUUUUCCAUCUAUUGCAAUCGUGGAAGAUUGACCUGCCAUGGGAUGCCUACCGGUCAAAAGGAGUGGAAGGAUAGGUUUUAUUGGCUCGCUGUCCCUGCUGACUUUCCUGUUGCUCGGGGUUUUGUUCGGCCUCGGACUCGACUAGAGGGAGUCGAGAUUGUAGAUGGUGUUGUCCUGGAGGAGAGGGCUUUUGAGCAUUUUUCAUCCGAGCCGAAGUUUAAUGCUGCCGGUAAAGAGGUUGGGCGGUUGCCUCGUGUUUGGCUUCCGCAUUCAAGUUAUGUUCUGCGGAAUGACGUGUUGUUCGCUAUGUUUCUUUGUUCUACUCACCCUCAAGGUCGUCGAUUCUUGAACCUUGAGGAAUUGGGUGUUCGGGCUGAUGGUUCCUUCAUCUGCGCUGCUCCCCCCGAUCCCGCUGCGAAUGGGUAUCAAAUUUUGGCUGACCAGAUAGAGGGCAGCCGGAGAAGUACUACACGCCGAUCUGGUCGGGGUGGCGGUUCUGGGAUCGUUCCUAGAGUGUCCCGGGUGGUUUCCUCUACACCCACUGGCUCUGUGAGCACUCCUAUUCGUCGAGGGCAGACCUCUCGCGGGGCUUCCCAUCGCGGUGCCCUGUCAGGCUCUCGUCGUGACCGAGCUGAUUUCGAGGCUGGGCUCGAAGCUCCAACAGAGGAUGCAGGUCAUGACUUUGGGGAAGUGGCUGAUGAGGUACGUGACCAUCCAGGUCGUUCGGGCUCUGCGUCCGAUCCUGUGGACAUCGAAGCUGAAGAGCCGCCUUUUGUUCAGCGUCCUGGGAAACAACCCAUGCUUGAUGGUGGGGCUGAGCUACUCCGAGCCUCCCCUUCUGCGGCUGAUCCCCAUCGCAGCAACAACUCUGGUAGUUCCCUUCGACAGUUUUUGGAGCAAGAGAUUCAAGGAAACGAUCUGGCUGCUGAUGAUCUUGACCUGCAUAUCACAGGUCGGCAUAAGGAGUUUGCUGAGAAAGAAUUUCUCGCAUUCGUCCCCAGGCCGACCCUGAGCUGGCUGCUAUCUUCUCCGGUCCUUCUGCUUCGGAUCGUACUUUUGUUCCGCGCUGGGACGUAUCAGAAUCAGAAAGCUUAUAUGGGAACUACCUUGAGAAAGGCGGGACACUUGCCCUGAGGAUGUUGAGAGGCCUGCAGUUACCCAGCGACUUGCCCAAGGAGCGUUUGUACACCCCUGGGGCGAAUGCUUGUCAGAAGGUCAUGGAGUGUGGCAACGCUGUUCGUGAGUUGACAGAAGUUUUCAUAGUUUACCAGAAACGACUUGCUGCCAACGCUGCUCAUAUAGAGGCCCAAAAGAAGAGAAUUGAGGAGCUAACUGAUGAUCUGGAGCUAUCUUCGACCUGCCUCACUUCGGCCAAUGAUCAAUUGAAGCUUGUUACUGAAGAGCGUGAUCAGCUGCAGACUAACUUUUCCCAGGCCCAAAUUGAUCUGGUUACCGAGCA
RNA transcript from Spinacia oleracea (spinach), 3540 nucleotides. RefSeq lists it as uncharacterized. The transcript has 6 exons. NCBI's taxonomy places the organism in Eukaryota, Viridiplantae, Streptophyta, Magnoliopsida, Caryophyllales, Amaranthaceae. The record is from RefSeq and is a predicted model, not a curated record.